Molecule: long non-coding RNA, 1868 nt
Organism: Bombus pyrosoma
Lineage: Eukaryota; Metazoa; Arthropoda; Insecta; Hymenoptera; Apidae
Exons: 2
Source: RefSeq, a predicted model, not a curated record
AAAUCGCGAAUUAGUCUUGAUUGAUUAAAAUCUUAGAUCUUAGUUUAUUCAACUGUCAAAUUAUAGAUUGUUCUUAAUUGAUCGGCUAACCAUUUGGAUUGUCAAUUCGUACAUAAUCAUAGUUUAUUAAUUAGUUUGUUCAAAUCGUGGGCCGCUCUUGAUUGAUAGAAUUUUAAAUUGUAGUUUGAAUUGUUAAAUCAUAGAUUAUUUUUAAUAUAUUGUUCAAAUCGCGGGUUGCUCUUGAUUGGUAGAAUUCUGAAUCAUAGUUUGAAUUGUUAAAUUUAUAGACUAUUUUUAUUACAUUAUUCAAAUCACGAGUUGUUCUUGAUUGGUAGAAUUUUCGAAUCGUAGUUAAAUUAUAGAUUAUUUUAUUAUUUUAUUCAAAUCGCGGGUUACUCUUGAUUGGUAGAAUUUCAGAUUGUAGUUUUCGUUACGGCACGUGCGGAGCGCGGGACGUGACAACCCCCCUCUUGGGGUUCAAAUUUCCGAAGGAAAUUUGACUGAUCGUGUCCCUGUUUUGAUUGUAAAAACUUGUCGCCACCAAAAAUUUUUCAUACCCCAUUAAUUCAUCAAUUGUGAAUUUAAUUUAUUUUCAUUUCGCGUUGUUAAUCAAUAUUAAAUUUUAAUAUCCCUAUUAUUAUGUAAUAAUGCUGUAUUAUUUUGCGUUAGUUAUUAUUCAUUUUCUUGUUACAAUCUUCCAUUAGUUUUAUUGUUAUUCUAUUAAAUACUCAUUGCUUCAUUAAAAAUAUAAUUUAUUUUGCAAUGCGUAAAAGUUACUACACGCACAUGUUGAUUCAAAAUGGCCGUUUGCAAAUGUCUCUAUAAAUGAAGCGUAAUCGAAUUGAGAUUAACAUUAUUUUGUGUUAAUUAUAGUCUAUAUAAUUAUUAUAUGUACUACUUGAUGCUCAUGACAUUCCAAAAUGGCCGUUUACGAAUGUCUCUAGUAUGUAUGACUUUCAUUAAUAUUAAACUUAUCAUUUGUUCGUUAAUUAUUUGUAAUUUAUUUUUGUAGAUAGAGUGUAAUCGAACUGAAAUUGGUAUUAUUUUGCAUUAAUUAUGGCGUGUAUAACUACUGUGUGUAUUUUCUUGCGCAUGCGUAAAAGCUAUGUUAUGUUUAUGACAAUCCAAAAUAGCUGCUUGUGAGUGUGUUUCUACUAAGAAUAUGGUAAUGUGUUCUUGAAUUUUAUUUAAUACUUAUUAUUAUUUCCUUUUCUCUCUCUAUUUUGGUGUGAUUGGAGUUUGGAACAACAAUAAUAUUGGUUUUGUGUUCGUUAUAAUGUGUAUGUUUACAGUGUGUUACUACAAUGUCAAUAUCAAGUGCAGUGUAUUUUAUUUAAUACUAGGAUAAUUAUUUAUCUGUUGUUUGUUCUUAAUUCUAUCUUAGUGCGGUUUAAAGUUCUAAUAGCAAUAAUAUUGUUUUGUAUUUGUUGCGAUGUGUAUACAUACUCUUUAUGUUAAUUUAAUAUAAUAGCAUUGUUGUUGAAACGUAUAAUUUACUAUUCAUGCUAUUUCAGUGCUUCAUAUCGAGUGGUUAUAUUUAUAGAAUGUUUGCUUAGUUAAUUUAAUUUAACAUACGCAUAGUGUAUUGCCGUUCGUUACUACUGCAUAACAUAACCUUAUUCCUUUACACCAGACUUAAUACAAUAGCGUAAUACGAUAUAACAAUCUUUUACUCUAAUCGUGUUUGUCGUCAAUGCUCGAUUAACAUACCUUGAUUAAUUUCUAGCUUAUUUCUACAUGUAACAUAACUUUAUACUUAAAUAAAUACGCCAACCAUUGGAUUACAAUUGGAUUAAAAAUAUUCUAUUGGUUAUUACAUCUAGUAUUUAACAUAGAUAGCAUAAAUGCUGAUCUUGUAACUCCUCUUG